This 432-nucleotide long non-coding RNA is filed under the name Homo sapiens (human). RNAcentral's name for it is "non-protein coding lnc-SHH-3:1". Lineage: Eukaryota; Metazoa; Chordata; Mammalia; Primates; Hominidae. The record is from RNAcentral.
UGUUUUACUUCUACACUUGUUUCCAUAUUUAUUUGUUUCUACAUUUGACACGAAGACUUUUUAGAUAUAAACUACGCUGGGGAUUCAGAAUCAGGCAACACGGUCCCCACCUGCCUGGGAUGACGACAGGUGACUCCAUCAUCCUCGGGUGCAGGUGGUGGGGAGAACUUCUACUGUUGGGCAGCACGGAAGUCCCCUUCGGGGCAGAGGGCACAAGAAUGAGCACAGAGGCCACAGGUGAAGUCGGGAGAGCUAGUGACAAGCCCAGGCUCUGGACCAAAGCCAUGCCUGCCUGGGGACAGAACUUCCCCACUCUUCCUGCAGCUGUAAGCAGGUCGCCUCCUUUCUUUCUGUCCCCAGGCUUUCACCUGUGGUAGAGGUGACGGCAGCACAGCCCGCUCCAUGGAGCUUUGCUGUCGACCACACACAUGA